GGUUUAAGUAAAUAAACAGCAAGAAAUAUAUGCGAGUAUGAUAUAUCCACUCUAACCAAGAGAUAUCAUGAAAUUAGCCAAAGAUAAUAGAAUAGCAGAAAUUUGAUCAAAAUACUUGGAAAUGGCUCCGCCCUGUCAUUCUCUUAAUUUCAUUGGCUUAAUACGAAUUACAUUACAUAAAUUUACAGUUCCAGUAAAGUGAUCUAUAC
This 209-nucleotide unclassified non-coding RNA is filed under the name Hevea brasiliensis (rubber tree). Lineage: Eukaryota; Viridiplantae; Streptophyta; Magnoliopsida; Malpighiales; Euphorbiaceae. The record is from RNAcentral.